RNAcentral lists this unclassified non-coding RNA (380 nucleotides) under uncultured fungus. RNAcentral's name for it is "partial contains 5.8S ribosomal RNA and internal transcribed spacer 2". The stretch from base 1 to 133 matches the Rfam family "5.8S ribosomal RNA", at positions 22 to 154 of the family's 154-position model. Lineage: Eukaryota; Fungi. The record is from RNAcentral.
UGGCUCUCGCAUCGAUGAAGAACGCAGCGAAAUGCGAUAAGUAAUGUGAAUUGCAGAAUUCAGUGAAUCAUCGAAUCUUUGAACGCACCUUGCACCCUUUGGUAUUCCAAAGGGUAUGCCUGUUUGAGUGUCUUUACAUCCUCAACAUCCACCCGUUUUGGGCUGGCUUGUUGGUCGUGAGUGCUGCGGGCGCAAGCCGGCUCGCUUUAAAUGGAUGAGUCGUCUGGCAUUGUCCCUACAAACGUGAUAGUUAUUUCGUUUUGGCGCGUGUUUAGAGGGCUUUCUAACUGGAACGGGAACGGGAGGGCGUGGUUUACUGCACCCUCGGUUCCGUUCAACUUUUACACCCAGACCUCAAAUCAGGUAGGACUACCCGCUGA